AUGAUUUCUCUUACUGUAAUCCUACUAGCUAUGGGACUCAUAGCACAAGAAUCAUCCGGAAUUAAAAUUCUGACUCAGUCUCCAACAUCGAAGUCUGUUAAGGCUGGAGAAACUGUGUCUAUCAGCUGCACUGCCAGUGAGAGUGUUGGCGACGCUCUGAACUGGUACUCCCAGAAACCUGGAGAAGCUCCUAAACUCCUGAUCUAUUCUAAAUCAAAUCGUCAGUCUGGUGUUCCAGAUCGUUUCAGUGGGAGUGGGAGUGGGUCUACUUAUACACAGUACACUCUGACCAUCAGCAGAGUCCAGGUGGAAGAUGCUGCAGAUUAUUACUGUCAGCAGAGUGCUGCAUUUCCAUUCACACAGUGUUAGAGCGCCGUACAAAAACCUCCCUCAGCAGGAGAGAAUCAGAGCCCUCAGGAGACUGAUCUGAGAACAGGUGCAGAGCUGCUACAGAUGACUGAACUCAGCUCAUGGUAGCAGCUCUUUCAGAGGAUGUGCACAUGAUCUCAGUCUACCCAGUACAGCAUGUUAAAAUAGAUCUCUCACUUGCUCUAUUUGACUGACAGGUGUCCAGUGUCCAUCCCGUCAGUCAUUUAGAAACAUCUAGCAGAUCCUCCCUCUUUUCCCCUCAUAUCCACAAGUAAGAUGAAUACCCAUCAUACACAAUCUUAACCUUCACCUCCUCUACAAUAG
Clupea harengus (Atlantic herring) is the source of this 693-nucleotide non-coding RNA. The record is from the annotation of a RefSeq genome assembly. NCBI's taxonomy places the organism in Eukaryota, Metazoa, Chordata, Actinopteri, Clupeiformes, Clupeidae.